Molecule: long non-coding RNA, 414 nt
Organism: Peromyscus leucopus (white-footed mouse)
Lineage: Eukaryota; Metazoa; Chordata; Mammalia; Rodentia; Cricetidae
Exons: 2
Source: RefSeq, a predicted model, not a curated record
AGGGAGGAUGGCUGGACUGCUUUGGAGAUGGACUUGGGGUGAGGGAGAGGGAUGAUGGGGGGAGCAGCCAGAGGCUAUCUCAACCAGAACCUCACUGCUGACCAGAGUUGGGGACUGUGAGAAGAUGGCAAAAGCCUAUCAAUGUUGGUGUCCAACAUGUUGCAUGAAGGAUUUUCCACAGAGACACAGGGCAAAGAAAUCACACCAGAAAAGGAACAAAGGCCUAAGUGAGUCACACAUGCUUUGGCUGAAGAAACUGCUUGAUUCUAUGCAGUACGAAGUCACGUUUGUUCCUGUGGUUGACUCAACAGACAGUACCUCCUGCUGCAGGCCCAAGGCCACCAUAAUCAUCAUUGAGCUUGCCUCUCCACCCCAGGAUCUCUAAAUAAAUCAUCUUUCUCUGAAAAAAAAAAA